CAGUAGCCGCGGUAAUACGAAGGGGGCCAGCGUUGCUCGGAAUGACUGGGCGUAAAGGGCGCGUAGGCGGUUCGUACAGUUGGAUGUGAAAUUCCUGGGCUUAACCUGGGGGCUGCAUUCAAUACGUGCGGGCUUGAGUGUGGAAGAGGGUUGUGGAGUUCCCAGUGUAGAGGUGAAAUUCGUAGAUAUUGGGAAGAACACCGGUGGCGAAGGCGGCAACCUGGUCCAUAACUGACGCUGAGGCGCGAAAGCGUGGGGAGCAAACAGGAUUAGAUACCCGCGUAGUCCCUGUCUCUUAUAC
RNAcentral lists this ribosomal RNA (301 nucleotides) under uncultured bacterium. Its description in RNAcentral is "partial 16S ribosomal RNA". It matches the Rfam family "Bacterial small subunit ribosomal RNA", at positions 509 to 807 of the family's 1533-position model. The record is from RNAcentral.